RNAcentral lists this transfer RNA (85 nucleotides) under Candidatus Omnitrophota bacterium. RNAcentral describes it as "tRNA-Ser". It matches the Rfam family "tRNA". Rfam says of the family: Transfer RNA (tRNA) molecules are approximately 80 nucleotides in length. The record is from RNAcentral. Lineage: Bacteria; Pseudomonadati; Candidatus Omnitrophota.
GGAGAGAUGGCAGAGUGGCUGAAUGCGGCGCUCUCGAAAAGCGUUAACCCGCAAGGGUUCGGGGGUUCGAAUCCUCCUCUCUCCG